RNAcentral lists this long non-coding RNA (313 nucleotides) under Arabidopsis lyrata. RNAcentral describes it as "long non-coding RNA (ALYR_LNC000308)". The record is from RNAcentral. Lineage: Eukaryota; Viridiplantae; Streptophyta; Magnoliopsida; Brassicales; Brassicaceae.
AGAACAGCUCACAUUGAGUUAGUUUCUUGAUGGAUUUACACAUGAACACACAAACCCAAUUUUGGUGUUCUUGUGAUUCUCUUUGAGUGUAGCACGUGCUGCUCACUCUUGAUUUGUCCCAGGCUCAUAACCUGGCCCUAUUCCGCAUAUAUUCUAACAUGGUAUCAGAGCCAUGGUUAGGAGAACCAUGGUUUCAAAGCUACAAAGCAAGGCCCUUGAAGAAGAGACUCAUGGGGGAAAGAAGAGGGAAGAGAUCCAUGGGAUGUCUUAGAACGAAAAGUUCAAGCAUUUAAAAUCAUGAUGAAUCCAAAAG